GGUCCCUUGGCUCCAGCAUUUGGUGCUCGGCAACGAUCAGGCAUGAUAGCGCGGGCCAUGCCCAUUUGCCCCAUGUAAUUUAAGAUACACUGCCCCGGAAAAUGGAGGCUCCAUUCCUCUGGCACGGACGGUUCCGGCUUGUGCCCUGCGGCACUUUUUUUGUCAUUUUCAUGCGAGGUAGCCGUGCGUGGCUGGCAUGCUCUUGACCUGUGGCGGGCCAUGCAACAUGGCAUGUCUGGCUCUUGGUCCAUGUGGUGUGGCUUGUGUCUUUUGCCUUGCAUUUGCCAGCCGCGUUGUGCCGCGCUGCACGCUCUCGUCCGAUGGGCGCAGAGUGUGGCGUGGGUCUGUUUGGGCUCAGCCCCACCUGCCUAGCUCACCUGCCGCUUAUUGUCUCGGUUUGCUGCCAUUUGAAUUUUUCCCAGCCAGCUCCCUCCCUCCCUCUCCGCCGCUCCCUCUUCUCCCCUCCUUCCCUCUCUCUCACUCUCUCUCUCUCUCCCCGCCCUCCCUGCCGUCUGGAUCCAGGCAAGUCUGAUAAAGUUCCAUUCCAGACAACAGCCGCAUUGCGUUGCUACAGCAUAGACAGCGGCCCAGGGAGAGAGAGAGAGAGAGAGACAUACAGCCAGAGCUAAGCGAUGAUGGGGAGAAAGAGAGAGGAGAGCAUCCCUCAAUAGGCACAACCACCCGUGAACCACAGCCAAAGCCAAGGACGGAGGAUGGCAAGCGAGGAGGGCAGAAGGAGAAGAGGACCAGAACAGGUUAACCUUCCCUGCAUGGGGAGUUCACCAGCCCUGACCUGCAGGGUGGGAGAGGGAGGGAAUUGGCAAGGGAAUAAGGAGGACCAGGAUGGAGGCUGGAGGAAAGGGGCUGGGUGGGUGAGUGCAAGAAACAGGCGAUAAAGAAUAAGGGGAGGGGAAGGGGCUGACACAGAGCAACAAGGAGGAGAGAGGCGAUGAGGCAGAGGUGCUGGAGAGGAUGGUGGGUGGGGGGACAGGUGGCAUGUCAGGGGCAAGAGGGGAAAAGGGAGAUGGGUCAGCCUUUGCACACAAAGAUUGGGUGGUGAAGGGGAUUGGCAGGUAGGUUAAUGACCUUAAGUUUGGUGGUGAGGAAGGGGGAAUGUGUGGGGUUUUUGUGUGGGAGGAGGCGACUCACCUUCCUUAGAAAGAUGAGAAGCCCGAUAGCUGUGGAAUGCUAAAUUUCCAUCCUGCCUGCCCCCUCCAGGGGCAAGUGGAAGCAAUGAUGAGAACAGAAAGAAGCACUCUUUCUCUGGGGUUCAACAGUUGCCACCUGGGGCAUCUCUCUCCCUUGUUCUCUCUCUCUCUUUCAUAUGUCAUGUGUGUCUUUCUCCAAGGAAGGCGAAAUGCAUGCGCAGUGUUCCCAUCCCUCCCACCCAGCCAAAUCACCGGGGGUUUCUUAGAGAGGUCCCAGCUGCUACCACCCCUGUGGGCACUUCCUGACAUAACGGACCCGUGGACCCGUGACCUCAUUGAGGGAUCCAGUGCAUGACCCCCCCAAAAAAAAAAUUGCCUCCCCCCACUCCAAAAUACAAGAUGGACACGCUGUAUGCACAUUGGAACGUACACACACACCUCGGGGGCCACACCCACCCAAGGGAUUCCCAUCCUCAGAUAUACACAAACCUCUUUUGAAAACACUAUUGGACUCUUCUCUCAGGGGGAAAAAUGUGCGCUCUCUUUCACACACACACACACACACACACACACACGAAGAGUCCUCCAGGACUGGUCAAGGAGGAAAAAAUCUGCAUGUGAGGGAGCUGGGUGUGGGUGGGUGUGGGAACAGAAAGACUGAGAAAGCGGUUCUUUAGGUUAUUCGUCACAGAUCGCCUUCCGUUGGGUGCAUGGAUAACUACUGUUUGUGUGUGGUGGGGUGAGCUGGAUUUGGCAAGUUGAAAGCAAUGGGAAUUAUGUGGCACAAGUUCCGUAUAACAAGGAGAGAGGGGUGUCUGUGCCGUGCCACAUGCGUGUGCCAUGAAUCAAUCCAUUGUGCACCACGGAGGCAGCGUGCUUGAAAGGGGCAGUUUGGCAGAGGUCUGUGAGUGCGCGGAGAGAGGGUAUUGUUUGCGGAGAGGAUGGCGUGGUUUGCGGGCAGUGGUAUCGAUGUCAAGGUGAAUGCAUAAAAGAGAUCUCUGUGCGGGGAAACAUGUGUGAGCCUGUGUGUGCCCGGGGUGUGAGUGCGAAGGAGCGGGCAGGCGUGUUUGCUGUGCGUGCCGUGGCUGCAAAUGUUCAAAUCCUUGGUAUUCCUCUGGACAGAACAUGCUCACAUAACACAGACCCCAAGCAAAAGUAUCUGUUGGGGAGUUGGACCCUGUCUCUGCCUGGAGUGUCUGCAUCAUAGCAUGUUUGGAAGAUGGCUUGUAUCCAGCACAGUCUUGGGCUGAAGGAAGUUUGGUGUAUGUGUGCCCAUUUUUGUGUGUGUGUUGUGCAUACAUCACAAAUUGGCCGUAGAGAGAUUUGUGUACGUGGUUGCUGACUUUGGGGAGGCUGGUGGCGUUACCUGCAGAUGGUUGGGGUUGUCCAUUAGAUAUACUUUUUGGAAAACACAAAUGUGCUGGUGCAGGUGUCUCCUAUUCUAUCACAGAGCCGUUCGUGAUGUGGCUUUUGGCUCACCUUGCCCAACGCCUGCGCCCAGCGAUGGCAACAAGAAACACACCCUGACCAGGUGAGUUAGUGGGUGGGGAGAAACACCCUUUUGUGUUCGAGGAUUGGGCUCCAGAUCUCCCUCAGACUUGGCUGGUUAUGCUUUUCCAUGCAGCCCUGAUCAGUGUCCCUCGCCUAACCCAGCGAGUCUCCGUGGCGCUGCUCCCUGUGGACUUCUCAAAGGCCACCGAGGACUGUUUCACACGAUGGCUGCAGUCAGGUGCCCACCGCUUCUUUCGGCUUGUGGGUCAGCUGACAUGCUCGCCCUGAGCAGACGCUGCCACUUUCUCACGUCGCCUCAGAUCAACGCCCGUUGGCAGCAGACGAGGCAGACAGCUUGCCACAAUCAGGGGCUGAAGCAGCGGCCAUGAGAACCACAGUUGUAGAGACUCAGCCCUGAGCGAGCUGCUGGUUUUCCGUGAGGAGGGAAGUCUGUGCCUUGGUGGGCUGGGGGGGGGGCGCGGUCCUCUCACACAAGGGCUGAGUUCAACAGGGCCCCAGAGCCUCUCUUGAGCUUUCUGGGCCAGCACAUUUCCCUGACUUGAAGCCUUCCCAGAGAUUGAGCCGGCCAGAGGAGUCAGCCCCCUGACUGCAUUGAAAUCCACUUCACCAUUCGCAGCAGCAGGGGGACAGGCGCAGUUCUGUGUCCUCUGGCAUACGCUGGAACAUUCCAGAAAUGUAGGCCCAUCCCUUAUCCAGAGUGUAAGGGAGUCUCUCUGGAAUCUUAGCAGGAACUACGGCCCAAAAUGCAGAAAUGCCAAGAGCACAGCGGGUACAGGCUGAAGCUCUCCCCCCUAUAAUAUGCUACCCAACACUGAGGUUGAAACAUCCCGGUGGCUUCUCCUUGCCCACCCACUUUCCGCAAACUUCUCAACUGGCGCUUAUCGAAAUGGAGAUCAGGCCCAGGCUUUUCUCCAAAUUGAAAGCAUCCUUUAGAAAACUUUCUAAGAAUGGCGCCCUUCAGAACUUCCAAAUUUCCCACAAUAGUUCUUUUAAUUAAAUGUGUCUUGCCUAGCCUGGUUUUGUUUUCAUAUUUGUUCAAUGCUUU
This is a non-coding RNA of Podarcis lilfordi (Lilford's wall lizard), 3705 nucleotides long. The record is from the annotation of a GenBank genome assembly. NCBI's taxonomy places the organism in Eukaryota, Metazoa, Chordata, Lepidosauria, Squamata, Lacertidae.